RNAcentral lists this microRNA precursor (70 nucleotides) under Anopheles dirus. RNAcentral's name for it is "mir-2 microRNA precursor". It matches the Rfam family "mir-2 microRNA precursor family". From Rfam's summary of the family: The miRNAs are transcribed as ~70nt precursors (modelled here) and subsequently processed by the Dicer enzyme to give a ~22nt product. The record is from RNAcentral. Lineage: Eukaryota; Metazoa; Arthropoda; Insecta; Diptera; Culicidae.
UCCCUCUCAAAGUGGCUGUGAAAUGCGUCCUUCCUUUCUCGUAUAUCACAGCCAGCUUUGAAGAGCGCUA